This is a long non-coding RNA of Rosa rugosa (rugosa rose), 866 nucleotides long. RefSeq lists it as uncharacterized. The transcript has 7 exons. The record is from RefSeq and is a predicted model, not a curated record. NCBI's taxonomy places the organism in Eukaryota, Viridiplantae, Streptophyta, Magnoliopsida, Rosales, Rosaceae.
UGCCGAUUGUUAUUACUGAGAGCUUCUAUUUGUAUCUGUGUAGAGAGAGAGAGAGAGAGAGAGACUGUGAUAGGAAAGAAGAAGUGAUCGAUCUUUGUUGCAGAAUCUAUAAUUCUUCGGGUCUUCGGGAAGACUCUAUCAAGAUUGACGUUCACUGUUUCGUAGCAUCAAACGCUGCUAUCAACAUCAACAACAGUGAAAGCUUGAAAUGCAUGCCCAAUUCUCAAAGCUCUCUAUCAAGAGUAUAUCAAUGGCCCGUAUUGUGAAGGUUAUCGAUCUUCAAGAAGUUUUUGAUGAGGAGGAGGUGAUUGUGCCUGAGCUUAAUCAGAAAGAUGAUUCAAGGUUCUGGUUUUGGGAUUUAAGGCAGACUUAGAUAAGGAACAGGGGUUGAAUAUGGAGCUGCAGUCACGCUUUGACUACUCCUCAACAGUUCUUUCAGAGGCUGGAAGAAGAGGAGUGGAGAGGCAGAAAGUAAGCAACUGCAAAUGAGAUCUAACAAGCAACAUGGCAAUGUGUGCUUGGGGAUAUUGAAUGGCUCCGAAGUAGAACUGGGAAGUAUUGAACAUUAUAGGAGAUAUUACUUUGCUAGAUAAAAUUGUGAUAUAUGACAAUGAAAACCAGCGAAUUGGAUGGGCUUCAGCAAAUUGCAGUAGGCUUCCCAAGACCUGAACCUUACUCUUACAAAGAUUAGUGUUUUGGUGUUUUCAUUUUUGAUGAUAAUACUUGCUUUUUUGUGUUGGUUCAGAUUGUCUCACUUGAACCAAUUAAACUCCUAGAUUCCUUGAACUCAAUGUAAAUGGUGCUAUGUUAUGACGAGAUGGAGAAUAAGAAAGAUGUUGGAUAUCAAUUUUGUCAAUUACUGAAGC